GGCUCUAUCCUCUCUCUUCAUCUUUCUUUCUUGGGUCUUUUAAUUAAUUAAUUAGUGCAGAAGGAGAAGAUUUAUACAAUUAAACCAAAAAUGAUGAAAAGGACAAGCUCACAUGAGCCGAACCAGAUCAUUCAUGGGCCCCUACGUAUUAUCCUUCUCUCUCAAUUCUCAAUCUCAUGGGUCUUUCUUUCUUUCUUUCUUUAAUAGCUGAAAAUAAAGCAACCCACAUUAUAUUUCUUUCUGCUUCAUUUAGAGAGAGAAGCUUCGAGGAGGGAAAUAUGACUUAGAAGAAGCGAAAACCCUCACUCUUUCUUCUCCCUGUCCAGUGGUAUCCACAGGUCAAUCGUCAAUAACAAAAUUAUUGCUCUUUCUGAUUUCUAGUGAAUUAUCCACAGCUUGUCUUGUUUAGGGUUUUUGAUCACUUAUCUCCUUGGUCAAAGAUGAAGGCACCGACUGUUUGGUUGUACUAAAACAGCUUCCCUUUCUAGCUUCACAGAUCUUGAAUCCAAAUCUUCCAACCGAGAAACCAAAUCUUUUACAGGUGAUUAGCUCUUUGUUUUACUUCAUUUUUCUAUAAUUGAACUCCUCUUCUAUACAUACCUUUUUUCCCGAUUUUCCCCCAUUCUUGUGGUUGGAUUUUUAUUCUUAAAGAUCUAUUUUUGAUAAGAAGCUUCAAAAUUCAAGGUGGGUCAUCAUGAACUUUGUUGAACAAGAAAGAGGGUAUUGUGACAAAGGAGAACAAGGGCCAGAAGAAGAGGAGGAAGAAGAAGAAGAGGAGGAAGAAGAAGUGACGAUGACAAGUAAGCUUCCUUUUCCUUCUCCUUCAUCUUCCUCUUCUUCUUCCACAAAGUACAGAAAUUUCCUACCCGAAAACCAAAACUUAUGGCUUGGGUCAUCCAAUUCUCAACAAGAUUACAAAAACCAAGAACCAUCUCUUAAUUUUGAAAACAAACUAGAGCUCAUGGACCUAUCACUAGGAAAUGACAAUGGAACUGUUAAUACAAGUAGCGGCGGUGGUGGUAGUACUGGCCAUGAGUCUAUAGAGAGAGAACACAUGUUUGAUAAAGUAGUGACCCCAAGCGAUGUAGGGAAGCUAAACCGACUUGUGAUACCAAAGCAACAUGCAGAGAAGUACUUUCCUCUUGACUCAUCAUCAAACGAAAAAGGCCUCCUUUUGAAUUUUGAAGACCGGAACGGCAAGCCAUGGCGGUUCCGUUACUCUUAUUGGAAUAGCAGCCAAAGCUAUGUGAUGACGAAAGGAUGGAGUCGUUUUGUUAAGGAAAAGAAGCUUGAUGCAGGUGAUAUCGUGUCGUUUCAACGCGGUGUUGGUGAGUGGAAACACCGUUUGUAUAUAGACUGGAGACGCAGGCCUAAUGCACCAGAUCCAACAUCGUUUACUCAUUUAGAGCUGCAAAAUCAGUUACACUUCCCACAGUCGGUGAGGUGGGGCAGACUUUACUCGUUGCCUCAGCCUUUGUCGUCUAUGCCGCGACCAUAUGAACAACACCACCACCAAUUUCAGAAUUUGGGUUACAGUAUUCAUCAGCAACCGUAUCAUCAUCAGUAUCAUCAUAAUUAUCACCAUCAUCAUCAUCAUCAUCAUCAACAGCCGCAGUAUUACUUGAGGCCGCAAGGCGGAGCACUGCAAAUUGGGGCAUUAUUGCACAAUCAACAAGAAGGAGGAGAUCAUCAACCACAAAUGGUGAUUGAUUCAGUUCCAGUUGUUCAUGGUAGAAGUGUGGGAAAGCGAUUAAGGCUUUUUGGUGUAAACAUGGAGUGUUCAACGCAAGAUGAUCAAUCUUCUCCUUCUUCUUCUUCAGUUACCAUACCAACAAUGAUGGGUUCAUUUUCACCUCAUUUCACUGCAGCAAAUUCUUCCUCUUCUGUCCCGCCUCUCCAGUCGAGAGUAGUAGUGGCCAGUCCCAGUAGUGCCUCAACGCCAAUAAAUACUCAAGCUCACGAUCAGUUUCCAAAGAAAGGAAAGACUUCCUUAUCUUUUGAUUUGGAUCUUUGAUCUUUGAUCACAUACAUAGAAUCUAUAUAUGAUCAAGAGACGAAGAAGCUAGAUACAAUAUUUUCUUUUUGUUACCUCCACAUCUAAUUAAUUUUGCCAUGGGUACUGAAUGUUGAUAAAAAUUCAGUCUUUUAUCUUUAUUUUUGGCUUUAUUUUCCUUUCUUUCUUUAGUUAAUUUGUUUUAGUUUACUAGUGCAUAUAUCUCAGUGUAAUUAGCUGAGAUUGGGGCUUGUGAAGAGGAAGAACAAGAGAAGUGCAACAAAUAUAUAUAUAUACAUGUGGAGUUGAUGAAAAUCCCUUUUCUUCUGAUAACUGUGUAUACUAUAAUAAUAUUAUAUAUAGAAAAAUAAUUUAAAUAUGAGCAUAUUUCCAUGGUGUUAAAUGAUAUUGAUUGACAUUUUUCCUUUAGUAGAGCCUGAACUUACCAAUAACUGUAUACAUUCUGGAUAGUCUCUUCCCAGUUUGUUUGGGUUACAAUUUGCUCCUCCUUAGAUAUCAACUGUACUUGCUCUCUCUCUCUCUCUCUCUCUCUCUCUCUUCUCUCUCUUUCUCUCUCUCUCUCUCUCUUGGUGACAGAAGUCAUAUAUUAUGGUACAUUAGUUAUAGAGGAUGGAUAAAUGUUGCAAAAGUUUCUCUCUUCUUUUUCUUUCUCUUUUGUUUCUAUUACCUUAUUAGGAUAAUGUGCUAGCUAUAGCUGCUGCUUGCUGGAUAGGGGAUUGCAGGUAAUGUGCAGAAAAGUUGCAGCGCUGUAAAAGCCCACUUUCCUGUCUGGAUUAAUUGAAGCACGCAAAAAGUUGCUUAUCUUGAUAGAGAUUUCUCAAAAUGAGGCACCGAUUAAUUAAUGAUGUUCUGGACCUUUGCCAUUUAAACAACAUUAAUUAGCAACUGCAAAGUCAAUAACUUCUUUGAAGCAAGCUUUACUUGUGGUCAAGACUAUCAUGAAAUAGCUCCUGAAAGUCUUCUUUUUUUGGUGGUGAAAUGUUUGACAUGUUUGGUCCGGAAAAAUUGUUAUUCCAAUGAUGUCUGAAGACGCAAAAGGUAUGAAUUAUUGUGAAAAUGGAGUUAUAUAUAUAUAUAUAUAUAUAUUUGCUUCAAUGGAAGGCAUUAAUAAUUGGACAAGUUUGAUCAUUUUAGACAACAAAAACGGCAUGUGGAGCAGAAGCAUUCAUCAACAUUUCAAGGUAAAGUAGUUAUAGUUAGUGGAUGCAUACACAAGAUUUAUGCCUUAUCCAUUUGAUAUUAUUCACUAUGCAAUUUCCAUAUUAAUCAACCAAAAUUAACCUAACUUAACUAAUUAUGGCAAAAAUAAAAUAAAAGGAGGAACAACGCCAAUAUGUAAAUGUAUUAAUUAAUUAAAUCACUGCAUUUAACAAUAUUAAAUGUUUAAUAUAAUUCCAUAGUAACAUAUAAUGAGACUAACGUAAUUCGUGUCUAAUGAAAGUGAAGUUAAGGUACCUAGGAUUAAUUUAAAUCUUACCAACAUAAAAAAUUUUUUAAAUUAUGAACAAAAAAUCAAAUUUCAUGGAAAUCAAUUUGAAAAACAGUUUAAAAGAACCGGAGGUUGUUAUGUUUUUAAUUAAAAGUGCAUGUCCUCCUAUAGCUUGUGUUAGGCUCAGUUUCACAUUGAGUUCUCAAAUUUGGUUUUUCAUUUUUGUUAAAUAUUUUUAGUAAAUUAUGGUCUAAAAGAGUUAUUAUUUAUGUACUGUAUGAUUAUGUUUAAUCAAUGGGAUUUUUAUCUAACAGUGAAAGCGCAGCUGAGGCUCUCACAGGUUCUAGAUUCAGUUCUUUAUAAGCCAAAAAAAAGAAAAUUCAAGUGUAUUCUAUUUAUGGUGAUACUUAUGACUUCUACUAAUGGCAAAGCUAAGUAAUUUUGUUUCA
Molecule: non-coding RNA, 3892 nt
Organism: Jatropha curcas
Lineage: Eukaryota; Viridiplantae; Streptophyta; Magnoliopsida; Malpighiales; Euphorbiaceae
Source: RefSeq, a predicted model, not a curated record